CCUGGCUCCACUCCCCCUAGACUCAUUUAAGAGCUGGCUACCAGUGAGGAAGGAUCUCUUCUGGAGAUCUGCUUUGCUGGAGUUUUGUAAGUGAGCCUGGGCUCUGGCAGGAAUGGCUUACAGGCCAAGAAGUAUUCUCUGCAAAGAGUUUGGAUGCAGCCAUCCUGAUUUGGAGAACAAGACAAUUCAGUCCUAUGGCCAAGAGCUUUGCCAUUUCAUUUUGCCUCCAGGAUGGAGAAGAGCCAGGCUGGACUUUAUUUCCUAGUGUAGGUAUAGGCACUCAUGUCUUUGGCAUAGGAACCAGUAAAAACUGCAGGCCUUUGGUUACAAAUGGAAGAAUCACAUAUAUCUAAAAUGAAUGUAAUUAUAUUGCAGUUAAACAGCAAAAAACCAUGGUGAAUCUUAAUUUGUUUGAUGUUGUGAUUUCAUUCAGUAAAUUGCCUAAAACUUCCACUAUUUUUCUGAAGCACAUCCAGGAUUCUUUGCUCUGGAAAUAUCAUAUGAUCAAUCCUCCCAAGGAGAUUUUCAGCAUGCCCUCAUUCUGACCAGGCAGGCUUGUUUUUCAUGCUGCAUUUUGAUAAUUCCACAUCUUCUCCUAGCUGAACACAAGUAGGACAGCUGCUCAGAACUUAAUUUAAAAGGUAAACUGACUUCUUUUGAAUUUCAAAAAAUCACAGGAUGGAUCUUCUUUUAUCAGAACCAGCUUAUCCGUCCCUAAUUCAGAGAGAAAAGUAGGGGUCCGGAUCAAAAGGCUUCAAAUGUUUCCAAAGUUCAGGGCUAUUUGGAUCUCUGGUUUUGGUGUAGGCCCAUCCACUACCUGCACUGCCCCUAUAUCACCAUUUACCUAUUCUCCCCCACAGACUUUUUUUUUUCUUUCCAGCUCCCUCCCUCUCCAUCACUCUUCCAAGAUUAAAGUUUUUUUUUUAUUAUUAUUAUAAUCAUAAUUCCUAUAAGAGAUAAGAAGCUCCCCAGUGUAUCUUUAUUAAUCCCAGUUAAGAUAACAUUUUGAAAGCAGACAGGGGAGAGAUUUAUAAAGAGCAAGAAAAUGCAGUUGGAGAUCAGCACAGCAGGGCCAAAAUUUCCUAUGCUGUCUGAGGCUGUUUACAAGGUAGUGUAAGUUAAAUAUUGCCCUAUAUGUGAAGUUACAUGUAACCACUUUGUUGAAUCUGAGCCUAGAUUGUAUUUACCAGUGUGUUCAAUGUUGUAAUAAUGAUCCUAGAAACAGCCUUCAUUAUAUUUUGUCUCUUCUGGUUUAUGUUUGUAUGUUAUGUUUUAUUAUUUACAUUGUUAGUGUGUUAUCAUCAAGUUAAAAAACAGGCUGUUUGAAUUCCCACCAAUUUAUUUGUAUGGUUUUGUUAUGGGCAAAAGAAGCAAACCAUAUAUGUGAAGUCAGUAAUUUAUUAUUGUUCUAAUUACAGUCUUAAUAGUCUCAAAGAAAAGUUACUGUUAAUGCAGUUACUGUGACACUACACAGUUUAAAUCGCGUAGCGCAGUUAAAAUACAUACACCAACUUUCUAGCACCUCCCUCCUUGUCUAGUGCCAAGCCUACACACCCACUGCCCCUCAGUUUCCUAAGGCUGAUGGUAUCUCUCAGUGUAUGGCACAAGGUAGAGUUACCACAAGUCUUCUGUGUCCCAGGCCCUCUCCUAGAGAAGUAUGAUGUUAGUAUUAAAGGCUUCUCCUUCACCUCUUGAAUUCAGUGGGGGCUUUUUUCUGUUUGCUUACAUGCUAUGUACCUUGUUUCUCAUUGAUGCACAAGUCCAUGUUGUAUCUCCAUGAGCUCUAUAUGGUGUGUUUUAUGUAUGUUGGUUACUUCUUGGUUCUCACUGUUGCCCAAUGGACUAAUUUAUACACUGCCUAAGGUUGCUUUCAUUUGCUGACCAUAAGUGGCCCCAGUAUAUAGCCCAUAGGUCUUCCACAUCUUCCUUUGCCUGUUGUCAAAGCCUCUGCCCUCAUCCUGUCUUCUCUUUCUGCUGCGUUUUCUUCUAGAGUAAUAGAUAAAUGUUUUAUUUCCACUGUCUAAUAGUUAAGAAACUAUAUUUAGUAAUAGACAUUAUAUGAAGUGGGUAGCAGUCCCCUAGGUAACUACUAUUACAAGCUGAAGCAAAUCUCCUGGGUCUCCUGCCUUGGCUCUGGCUCUUUUUCUGACUUGAGCUUUCUGUGAGAUCCUGAGCAUGUUCCUUUGCCUUUCUGAAUCUCUAAAAUGGAUAAAAUGUGCUGUCACCUUGAUAGAACAGAAUGGAGAGGAAAGCAGUGGAAAUGAAUCAAUCAUUACUAUUUGUUUAAAUGAGAAUCUCUGUCAAAUCUGAAGAAUUAAUUUGGUCUGAGAGGAAUGCUAAGAGGCUUAGGACAACCUCAUCUGACAAUCAAGUGAAGUAAAUGUUUGUUCUCUACACAGAGCUUCAUGCUGAGAAGCACUAGUGUGAUGGGUUAUCUUAAAGUGAGUCAUCCUAUUCUGUAUUCAUUUUUUUCUUAAAACUGAGAACAUAAUGAUCUACCCAAAAU
Long non-coding RNA from Tympanuchus pallidicinctus (lesser prairie-chicken), 2506 nucleotides. RefSeq lists it as uncharacterized. The record is from RefSeq and is a predicted model, not a curated record. Lineage: Eukaryota; Metazoa; Chordata; Aves; Galliformes; Phasianidae. The transcript has 2 exons.